UUAAUUAAGAGUUUGAUCCUGGCUCAGGACGAACGCUGGCGGCACGCUUAACACAUGCAAGUCGAACGAGAGAAGAGAAGCUUGCUUUUCUGAUCUAGUGGCGGACGGGUGAGUAACACGUGAGCAAUCUGCCUUUCAGAGGGGGAUACCGAUUGGAAACGAUCGUUAAUACCGCAUAACAUAAUUGAACCGCAUGAUUUGAUUAUCAAAGAUUUAUCGCUGAAAGAUGAGCUCGCGUCUGAUUAGCUAGUUGGUAAGGUAACGGCUUACCAAGGCGACGAUCAGUAGCCGGACUGAGA
Molecule: non-coding RNA, 299 nt
Filed under: Ruminococcus sp. CAG:57
Lineage: Bacteria; Bacillati; Bacillota; Clostridia; Eubacteriales; Oscillospiraceae
Description: Bacterial small subunit ribosomal RNA
Rfam family: Bacterial small subunit ribosomal RNA
Source: Rfam by way of RNAcentral